AUGAGCGCUGGCGGCGUACCUAAUACAUGCAAGUCGAGCGAACGGACGAGAAGCUUGCUUCUCUGAUGUUAGCGGCGGACGGGUGAGUAACACGUGGAUAACCUACCUAUAAGACUGGGAUAACUUCGGGAAACCGGAGCUAAUACCGGAUAAUAUUUUGAACCGCAUGGUUCAAAAGUGAAAGACGGUCUUGCUGUCACUUAUAGAUGGAUCCGCGCUGCAUUAGCUAGUUGGUAAGGUAACGGCUUACCAAGGCAACGAUGCAUAGCCGACCUGAGAGGGUGAUCGGCCACACUGGAACUGAGACACGGUCCAGACUCCUACGGGAGGCAGCAGUAGGGAAUCUUCCGCAAUGGGCGAAAGCCUGACGGAGCAACGCCGCGUGAGUGAUGAAGGUCUUCGGAUCGUAAAACUCUGUUAUUAGGGAAGAACAUAUGUGUAAGUAACUGUGCACAUCUUGACGGUACCUAAUCAGAAAGCCACGGCUAACUACGUG
This 496-nucleotide ribosomal RNA is filed under the name uncultured bacterium. RNAcentral describes it as "partial 16S ribosomal RNA". It matches the Rfam family "Bacterial small subunit ribosomal RNA", at positions 29 to 507 of the family's 1533-position model. The record is from RNAcentral.